AACGAACGCUGGCGGCAGGCUUAACACAUGCAAGUCGAACGGGCACCUUCGGGUGUCAGUGGCAGACGGGUGAGUAACGCGUGGGAACGUACCCUUCGGUUCGGAAUAACCCAGGGAAACUUGGGCUAACACCGGAUACGCCCGCAAGGAGAAAGAUUUAUCGCCGAAGGAUCGGCCCGCGUCGGAUUAGCUAGUUGGUGGGGUAAUGGCCCACCAAGGCGACGAUCCGUAGCUGGUCUGAGAGGAUGANCAGCCACACUGGGACUGAGACACGGCCCAGACUCCUACGGGAGGCAGCAGUGGGGAAUAUUGGACAAUGGGCGAAAGCCUGAUCCAGCCAUGCCGCGUGAGUGAAGAAGGCCUUAGGGUUGUAAAGCUCUUUCAGCGGGAAGAUAAUGACGGUACCCGCAGAAGAAGUCCCGGCUAACUUCGUGCCAGCAGCCGCGGUAAU
This 451-nucleotide ribosomal RNA is filed under the name uncultured bacterium. RNAcentral describes it as "bacterial SSU rRNA". It matches the Rfam family "Bacterial small subunit ribosomal RNA", at positions 29 to 524 of the family's 1533-position model. The record is from RNAcentral.